AACGAACGCUGGCGGCGCGCCUAAUACAUGCAAGUCGAGCGAGAAGACGUAGCAAUACGUUUGUAAAGCGGCGAACGGGUGAGGAAUACAUGGGUAACCUACCCUCGAGUGGGGAAUAACUAGCCGAAAGGUUAGCUAAUACCGCGUACGCUCCUUGGACUUCGGUUCAGGGAGGAAAGCGAUACCGUGGGUAUCGCGCUCUUGGAUGGGCUCAUGUCCUAUCAGCUUGUUGGUGAGGUAACGGCUCACCAAGGCUUCGACGGUAGCUGGUCUGAGAGGACGAUCAGCCACACUGGCACUGCGACACGGGCCAGACUCCUACGGGAGGCAGCAGUAAGGAAUAUUGCGCAAUGGGCGAAAGCCUGACGCAGCGACGCCGCGUGGGGGAUGAAGGUCUUCGGAUUGUAAA
This 409-nucleotide ribosomal RNA is filed under the name uncultured bacterium. Its description in RNAcentral is "bacterial SSU rRNA". It matches the Rfam family "Bacterial small subunit ribosomal RNA", at positions 29 to 429 of the family's 1533-position model. The record is from RNAcentral.